ACGAACGCUGGCGGCGUGCUUAACACAUGCCAGUCGCACGGAAAGGCCCUGCUUUUGUGGGGUGCUCGAGUGGCGAACGGGUGAGUAACACGUGAGUAACCUGCCCUUGACUUUGGGAUAACUUCAGGAAACUGGGGCUAAUACCGGAUAGGAGCUCCUGCUGCAUGGUGGGGGUUGGAAAGUUUCGGCGGUUGGGGAUGGACUCGCGGCCUAUCAGCUUGUUGGUGGGGUAGUGGCUUACCAAGGCUUUGACGGGUAGCCGGCCUGAGAGGGUGACCGGCCACAUUGGGACUGAGAUACGGCCCAGACUCCUACGGGAGGCAGCAGUGGGGAAUAUUGCACAAUGGGCGGAAGCCUGAUGCAGCAACGCCGCGUGCGGGAUGACGGCCUUCGGGUUGUAAACCGCUUUCGCCUGUGACGAAGCGUGAGUGACGGUAAUGGGUAAAGAAGCACCGGCUAACUACGUG
RNAcentral lists this ribosomal RNA (467 nucleotides) under uncultured bacterium. RNAcentral's name for it is "partial 16S ribosomal RNA". It matches the Rfam family "Bacterial small subunit ribosomal RNA", at positions 29 to 507 of the family's 1533-position model. The record is from RNAcentral.